RNAcentral lists this ribosomal RNA (512 nucleotides) under uncultured bacterium. Its description in RNAcentral is "partial 16S ribosomal RNA". It matches the Rfam family "Bacterial small subunit ribosomal RNA", at positions 28 to 523 of the family's 1533-position model. The record is from RNAcentral.
GACGAACGCUGGCGGCGUGCCUAAUACAUGCAAGUCGAGCGGAUCUUCAUUAGCUUGCUUUUGAAGACCAGCGGCGGACGGGUGAGUAACACGUGGGCAACCUGCCUGUAAGACUGGGAUCACUUCGGGAAACCGGAGCUAAUACCGGAUAAUCCUUUCCCUCACAUGAGGGAAAGCUGAAAGACGGUGUCGGCUUGCACUUACCGAAGGGCCCGCGGCGCAUUAGCUAGUUGGGGAGGUAAUGGCUCACCAAGGCGACGAUGCGUAGCCGACCUGAGAGGGUGAUCGGCCACACUGGGACUGAGACACGGCCCAGACUCCUACGGGAGGCAGCAGUAGGGAAUCUUCCGCAAUGGACGAAAGUCUGACGGAGCAACGCCGCGUGAGCGAUGAAGGCCUUCGGGUCGUAAAGCUCUGUUGUCAGGGAAGAACAAGUAUCGGAGUAACUGCCGGUACCUUGACGGUACCUGACCAGAAAGCCACGGCUAACUACGUGCCAGCCGCCGCGGUAA